GUUUGAUCCUGGCUCAGAACGAACGCUGGCGGCAGGCCUAACACAUGCAAGUCGAACGAGACCUUCGGGUCUAGUGGCGCACGGGUGCGUAACGCGUGGGAAUCUACCCUUAGGUGCGGAAUAACUCAGAGAAAUUUGAGCUAAUGCCGCAUAAUGACUCCGGUCCAAAGAUUUAUCGCCUAAGGAUGAGCCCGCGUAAGAUUAGCUAGUUGGUGAGGUAAAAGCUCACCAAGGCGACGAUCUUUAGCUGGUCUGAGAGGACGACCAGCCACACUGGGACUGAGACACGGCCCAGACUCCUACGGGAGGCAGCAGUGGGGAAUAUUGGACAAUGGGCGCAAGCCUGAUCCAGCCAUGCCGCGUGAGUGAUGAAGGCCUUAGGGUUGUAAAGCUCUUUUACCAGGGAUGAUAAUGACAGUACCUGGAGAAUAAGCUCCGGCUAACUCCGUGCCAGCAGCCGCGGUAAUAAGGGCGAAUU
RNAcentral lists this ribosomal RNA (478 nucleotides) under uncultured Alphaproteobacteria bacterium. RNAcentral describes it as "bacterial SSU rRNA". It matches the Rfam family "Bacterial small subunit ribosomal RNA", at positions 11 to 535 of the family's 1533-position model. Lineage: Bacteria; Pseudomonadati; Pseudomonadota; Alphaproteobacteria. The record is from RNAcentral.